AUAGCUGACGAGUCCCAAACAGGACGAAAUGCGCUUUAUCCUGGAU
Molecule: non-coding RNA, 46 nt
Filed under: Trichobilharzia regenti
Lineage: Eukaryota; Metazoa; Platyhelminthes; Trematoda; Strigeidida; Schistosomatidae
Source: RNAcentral